RNAcentral lists this ribosomal RNA (253 nucleotides) under uncultured bacterium. Its description in RNAcentral is "partial 16S ribosomal RNA". It matches the Rfam family "Bacterial small subunit ribosomal RNA", at positions 524 to 776 of the family's 1533-position model. The record is from RNAcentral.
UACGUAGGUGGCAAGCGUUGUCCGGAAUUAUUGGGCGUAAAGCGCGCGCAGGCGGUUUCUUAAGUCUGAUGUGAAAGCCCACGGCUCAACCGUGGAGGGUCAUUGGAAACUGGGGAACUUGAGUGCAGAAGAGAAGAGCGGAAUUCCACGUGUAGCGGUGAAAUGCGUAGGGAUGUGGAGGAACACCAGUGGCGAAGGCGGCUCUUUGGUCUGUAACUGACGCUGAGGCGCGAAAGCUAGGGGAGCAAACAGG